AAGACAAAGACCCAUAAAUUUUGGCACAAAUUCUGGAUUCAUCUAAAAGGACCACUAUUAUUAAUUAUUACAAGCCAAGAACAAAUAUGUGAACAAGCAAUCGCUAUUACAUACUUCAUCGUUCUUAUCACUUCUUUCUUCCCUUCUUCCUUAUCAACAAUUUGAACUUUGGAGUUGUUCCCUAUUGCUUUACUUUUUCUUUUU
Molecule: long non-coding RNA, 204 nt
Filed under: Erythranthe guttata (spotted monkey flower)
Lineage: Eukaryota; Viridiplantae; Streptophyta; Magnoliopsida; Lamiales; Phrymaceae
Description: long non-coding RNA (EGUT_LNC001310)
Source: RNAcentral